Molecule: ribosomal RNA, 490 nt
Filed under: uncultured bacterium
Lineage: Bacteria
Description: bacterial SSU rRNA
Rfam family: Bacterial small subunit ribosomal RNA
Source: RNAcentral
UGAACGCUAGCUACAGGCUUAACACAUGCAAGUCGAGGGGUAACAUGAUUGGAGCUUGCUCCGAUUGAUGACGACCGGCGCACGGGUGAGUAACGCGUAUCCAACCUGCCCCAUGCUCUGGGAUAACCUUCCGAAAGGGAGCCUAAUACCGGAUGUUGUGCGACGAUGGCAUCAGAAUUGCACGAAAGAUUCAUCGGCAUGGGAUGGGGAUGCGUCUGAUUAGCUUGUUGGCGGGGUAACGGCCCACCAAGGCGACGAUCAGUAGGGGUUCUGAGAGGAAGGUCCCCCACACUGGUACUGAGACACGGACCAGACUCCUACGGGAGGCAGCAGUGAGGAAUAUUGGUCAAUGGACGCGAGUCUGAACCAGCCAAGUAGCGUGCAGGACGACGGCCCUACGGGUUGUAAACUGCUUUUGUAUGGGAAUAAAGUGCUCCACGUGUGGAGUUUUGUAGGUACCAUACGAAUAAGGACCGGCUAAUUCCGUGCC